GACGAACGCUGGCGGCGUGCUUAACACAUGCAAGUCGAACGGAAAGGCCCUGCUUUUGUGGGGUGCUCGAGUGGCGAACGGGUGAGUAACACGUGAGUAACCUGCCCUUGACUUUGGGAUAACUUCAGGAAACUGGGGCUAAUACCGGAUAGGAGCUCCUGCUGCAUGGUGGGGGAUGGAAAGUUUCGGCGGUUGGGGAUGGACUCGCGGCUUAUCAGCUUGUUGGUGGGGUAGUGGCUUACCAAGGCUUUGACGGGUAGCCGGCCUGAGAGGGUGACCGGCCACAUUGGGACUGAGAUACGGACCAGACUCCUACGGGAGGCAGCAGUGGGGAAUAUUGCACAAUGGGCGGAAGCCUGAUGCAGCAACGCCGCGUGCGGGAUGACGGCCUUCGGGUUGUAAACCGCUUUCGCCUGUGACGAAGCGUGAGUGACGGUAAUGAGUAAAGAAGCACCGGCUAACUACGUG
This 468-nucleotide ribosomal RNA is filed under the name uncultured bacterium. RNAcentral's name for it is "partial 16S ribosomal RNA". It matches the Rfam family "Bacterial small subunit ribosomal RNA", at positions 28 to 507 of the family's 1533-position model. The record is from RNAcentral.